This 459-nucleotide ribosomal RNA is filed under the name uncultured bacterium. Its description in RNAcentral is "partial 16S ribosomal RNA". It matches the Rfam family "Bacterial small subunit ribosomal RNA", at positions 338 to 795 of the family's 1533-position model. The record is from RNAcentral.
CCUACGGGAGGCAGCAGUGAGGAAUAUUGGUCAAUGGGCGGAAGCCUGAACCAGCCAAGUAGCGUGCGGGAUGACGGCCCUACGGGUCGUAAACUGCUUUUGCACGGGGAUAACACCAUCCACUUGUGGAUGUCUGCAGGUACCGUGCGAAUAAGGGCCGGCUAAUUCCGUGCCAGCAGCCGCGGUAAUACGGAAGGCCCGAGCGUUAUCCGGAUUUAUUGGGCUUAAAGGGAGCGUAGGCGGGCGUUCAAGUCAGCUGUAAAAUCUUGCGGCUCAACCUCACCCCGCAGUUGAAACAGGACGCCUUGAGUACACAAGAGGCAGGCGGAAUUCGUGGUGUAGCGGUGAAAUGCAUAGAUAUCACGAGGAACCCCGAUUGCGAAGGCAGCCUGCCGGGGUGCGACUGACGUUGAGGCUCGAAGGUGCGGGUAUCAAACAGGAUUAGAUACCCCGGUAGUC